This 504-nucleotide long non-coding RNA is filed under the name Sus scrofa (pig). RNAcentral's name for it is "lncRNA (ENSSSCG00060013163.1)". Lineage: Eukaryota; Metazoa; Chordata; Mammalia; Artiodactyla; Suidae. The record is from RNAcentral.
AUAGGAAUCUCAUGUUGAUACAUUUGCUGUUUUGCUGCUUUGAGAAUCAUUACCACGUUCUUCAGAUAUCUCACACUAAAAAUGUAACUUUUUUUUUUUAUCCAGGCCGUGAUCCUUUCAUGUCUCACCUGAUCCUCCUUUUUAUGAGCUUCAUGGACAGAAGGAUACUUAGAUGAGUGGAAGGGAGGUGAAAUAAGUCAACUUGGGUAUGUAUUUCAGAAAUUUCUCCUAUUGUUUUAAAAAUUUAAUACUGAUUCCUCAUAUCCUAAGGCCAUAGAAAGAGAAACAUCCAUGAUGGUAACCAAUGCCUGUGCUAUUAGCAAUAGGAAAUCUCUUACUGUCGUAAAUAUCACUGAAUAGACUAGUACAAAAGCUUAGAGUGGAUGUUACAAAGAGAACAAUUGUAACCAAGAUGACGGCAUGCCAAAAUCCAUUCGUUUAAAGACAUGAUUCUUCUCAAAUAGGAGAAUCGUAAUGUAAACAAAACAAAAUAAAAAUGAAAAC